GCCGGGUGAUUACUCAACCAAGCGUUGCAAGAAUCACGGCCAGGUGCGUUGCAGAUCCCUCGCGCAAGGAGUGGCUGGAGGGAUCUUGACAAUAGCAAGGAUUGUCUGGUUUCACUGACCAGACUGGCGAGCUAAAAUAAGCAGGAUCCAGAAACACAAGACUUAUCUGGGAACAUUCUUCCGAACUAAUUGGAGGAUCAGCUCAAGUCCCCAUUGAAGGAAGUGGAUUAUUUUGGGUUUUUUUCAUCAUCAACAAAGACUGGUGGACGUCCUUGGUAUAAGGAACUUUAACUUGUUUUUUCCUUUAAACUAUGGACUAAUGUGUAUAUAUAUUGUAAAUACUAAAUACAACUCACCAAUUUGCACCAUC
Molecule: long non-coding RNA, 370 nt
Organism: Xiphophorus couchianus (Monterrey platyfish)
Lineage: Eukaryota; Metazoa; Chordata; Actinopteri; Cyprinodontiformes; Poeciliidae
Exons: 2
Source: RefSeq, a predicted model, not a curated record